RNAcentral lists this transfer RNA (65 nucleotides) under Lepetodrilus nux. RNAcentral's name for it is "tRNA-Cys". The record is from RNAcentral. Lineage: Eukaryota; Metazoa; Mollusca; Gastropoda; Lepetellida; Lepetodrilidae.
UGCCCUGUAGUUGAAUUAGGACAAUGGUAAAUUGCAAAUUUACAGGUGUAGUAAUACCGGGGUAU